RNAcentral lists this ribosomal RNA (255 nucleotides) under uncultured bacterium. RNAcentral's name for it is "partial 16S ribosomal RNA". It matches the Rfam family "Bacterial small subunit ribosomal RNA", at positions 524 to 776 of the family's 1533-position model. The record is from RNAcentral.
UACAGAGGCCCCAAGCGUUAUCCGGAAUCACUGGGCGUAAAGGGUGUGUAGGCGGCAAUGUUAGUCCUUCGUUAAAGCUUUUUGGCUUAACCAAGAAAAUGCGGAGGAAACGGCAUAGCUUAGAGGUCGCGAGAGGUAUAUGGAACUCAUAGUGUAGGGGUGAAAUCCGUUGAUAUUAUGGGGAACACCAAAUGCGAAGGCAAUAUACUGGCGCGUACCUGACGCUGAAACACGAAAGCGUGGGAAUCGAACGGG